RNAcentral lists this transfer RNA (74 nucleotides) under Pelagibacterium sp. SCN 63-126. RNAcentral describes it as "tRNA-Cys". It matches the Rfam family "tRNA". From Rfam's summary of the family: Transfer RNA (tRNA) molecules are approximately 80 nucleotides in length. RNAcentral also lists the same sequence under 10 other names. The record is from RNAcentral. Lineage: Bacteria; Pseudomonadati; Pseudomonadota; Alphaproteobacteria; Hyphomicrobiales; Devosiaceae.
GGCCGCGUGGCGGAGUGGUUACGCAGCGGAUUGCAAAUCCGUGUAUUCCGGUUCGAUUCCGGACGCGGCCUCCA